UACGAAGGGGGCGAGCGUUGUUCGGAUUUACUGGGCGUAAAGGGCGCGCAGGCGGCUCAUUUUGUCAGGCGUGAAAGCCCCGGGCUUAACCUCGGGCCUGCAUUCGAUACGGGCUGACUAGAGUUCGGUAGGGGAGACUGGAAUUCCUGGUGUAGCGGUGAAAUGCGCAGAUAUCAGGAGGAACACCGGUGGCGAAGGCGGGUCUCUGGGCCGAUACUGACGCUGAGGAGCGAAAGCGUGGGGAGCGAACAGG
This 253-nucleotide ribosomal RNA is filed under the name uncultured bacterium. RNAcentral describes it as "partial 16S ribosomal RNA". It matches the Rfam family "Bacterial small subunit ribosomal RNA", at positions 524 to 776 of the family's 1533-position model. The record is from RNAcentral.